AGUGAACGCUGGCGGUAGGCCUAACACAUGCAAGUCGAACGGCAGCACAGUAAGAGCUUGCUCUUACGGGUGGCGAGUGGCGGACGGGUGAGGAAUACAUCGGAAUCUACUUUUUCGUGGGGGAUAACGUAGGGAAACUUACGCUAAUACCGCAUACGACCUACGGGUGAAAGCAGGGGAUCUUCGGACCUUGCGCGAUUGAAUGAGCCGAUGUCGGAUUGGCUAGUUGGCGGGGUAAAGGCCCACCAAGGCGACGAUCCGUAGCUGGUCUGAGAGGAUGAUCAGCCACACUGGAACUGAGACACGGUCCAGACUCCUACGGGAGGCAGCAGUGGGGAGUAUUGGACAAUGGGCGCAAGCCUGAUCCAGCCAUACCGCGUGGGUGAAGAAGGCCUUCGGGUUGUAAAGCCCUUUUGUUGGGAAAGAAAAGCAGCAGGUUAAUACCCCGCUGUUCUGACGGUACCCAAAGAACAAGCACCGGCUAACUUCGUG
Molecule: ribosomal RNA, 492 nt
Filed under: uncultured bacterium
Lineage: Bacteria
Description: partial 16S ribosomal RNA
Rfam family: Bacterial small subunit ribosomal RNA
Source: RNAcentral